GAUGAACGCUAGCGGCAGGCCUAACACAUGCAAGUCGAGGGGGAGGUUACUUUCGGGUAACUGGGACCGGCGUACGGGUGCGUAACGCGUAUACAAUCUGCCUUUCACUGGGGGAUAGCCCGAAGAAAUUUGGAUUAAUACCCCAUAGUAUAGUAAUACGGCAUCGUGAUGCUAUUAAAGCUUAGGUGGUGAAAGAUGAGUAUGCGUUCUAUUAGCUAGUUGGAGAGGUAACGGCUCCCCAAGGCGAUGAUAGAUAGGGGUUCUGAGAGGGAUGUCCCCCACACUGGUACUGAGAUACGGACCAGACUCCUACGGGAGGCAGCAGUGAGGAAUAUUGGACAAUGGUCGGAAGACUGAUCCAGCCAUGCCGCGUGCAGGAUGAAGGUCUUAUGGAUUGUAAACUGCUUUUGUAAGGGAAGAAUAAGGGCUACGCGUAGUUUGAUGACGGUACCUUACGAAUAAGCAUCGGCUAACUCCGUG
This 480-nucleotide ribosomal RNA is filed under the name uncultured bacterium. Its description in RNAcentral is "partial 16S ribosomal RNA". It matches the Rfam family "Bacterial small subunit ribosomal RNA", at positions 28 to 507 of the family's 1533-position model. The record is from RNAcentral.